UAAUGCCUGUACCAUAACCGACACAGGUGGGUAGGUAGAGUAUACUAAGGGGCGCGAGAUAACUCUCUCUAAGGAACUCGGCAAAAUGACUCCGUAACUUCGGGAGAAGGAGUGCCUUAUUUAUAAGGUUGCAAUAACAAGAUCCAAGCAACUGUUUAUCAAAAACACAGGUCUCCGCUAAGUCGUAAGACGAUGUAUGGGGGCUGACGCCUGCCCAGUGCCAGAAGGUUAAAGAAGUUGGUUAGUGUAUGCGAAGCUGAUGACUGAAGCCCUGGUGAACGGCGGCCGUAACAAUAACGGUCCUAAGGUAGCGAAAUUCCUUGUCGGGUAAGUUCCGACCCGCACGAAAGGCGUAAUGAUUUGGAUACUGUCUCGGAGAGAGGCUCGGUGAAAUAGACUUGUCUGUGAAGAUGCGGACUACCUGCACCAGGACAGAAAGACCCUAUGAAGCUUUACUGUAACUUGAAAUUGGAAUUGGACUUUGCUUGCGCAGUAUAGGUGGGAAGCGUUGAAGAUAUUCUUGCGGGAGUAUUGGAGCUAUCAGUGAGAUACCACUCUUGUAAUGUUAGAUUUCUAACUUUGAACCAUAAUCUGGUCAAAGAACAGUUUCAGGUGGGCAGUUUGACUGGGGCGGUCGCCUCCCAAAUGGUAACGGAGGCGUACAAAGGUUUCCUCUGAACGGAUAGAAAUCGUAUCUAGAGUGUAAAGGCAUAAGGAAGCUUGACUGUGAGACCUACAAGUCGAGCAGGGACGAAAGUCGGUCUUAGUGAUCUGACGGUACUGAGUGGAAAGGCCGUCACUCAACGGAUAAAAGUUACUCUAGGAUAACAGGCUGAUCUCCCCCAAGAGUUCACAUCGACGGGGAGGUUUGGCACCUCGAUGUCGGCUCAUCGCAUCCUGGGGCGGUAGUACGUCCCAAGGGUUGGGCUGUUCGCCCAUGAAAGCGGUACGCGAGCUGGGUUCAGAACGUCGUGAGACAGUUCGGUCCAUAUCCGGUGUAGGCGUUAGAAUAUUGAGAGGAGCCUUCUUUAGUACGAGAGGACCGAGAAGGACACACCGCUGGUGUACCAGUUAUCGUGCCAACGGUAAACGCUGGGUAGCUAUGUGUGGAGUGGAUAACCGCUGAAAGCAUCUAAGUGGGAAGCCCACCUCAAGAUGAUUGUUCUCACAGGGUUAACCUGGUAAGGUCACGGGAAGACCACCCGUUGAUAGGCACUCGGUGGAAGUCCAGCAAUGGAUGAAGCCAAGGUGUACUAACAGACC
RNAcentral lists this ribosomal RNA (1263 nucleotides) under metagenome. RNAcentral's name for it is "bacterial LSU rRNA". It matches the Rfam family "Bacterial large subunit ribosomal RNA", at positions 1636 to 2910 of the family's 2925-position model. The record is from RNAcentral.